RNAcentral lists this unclassified non-coding RNA (306 nucleotides) under uncultured fungus. RNAcentral's name for it is "partial contains 5.8S ribosomal RNA and internal transcribed spacer 2". The stretch from base 1 to 133 matches the Rfam family "5.8S ribosomal RNA", at positions 22 to 154 of the family's 154-position model. Lineage: Eukaryota; Fungi. The record is from RNAcentral.
UGGUUCUGGCAUCGAUGAAGAACGCAGCGAAAUGCGAUAAGUAAUGUGAAUUGCAGAAUUUAGUGAAUCAUCGAAUCUUUGAACGCACAUUGCGCCCUCUGGCAUUCCGGAGGGCAUGCCUGUUCGAGCGUCAUUACAACCCUCAAGCCCUGCUUGGUGUUGGGUCGCGCCGCCCGGCCGGCCCCAAAGACAGUGGUGGCGCCCCCCGACUCUCAGCGUAGUAACUCUCUCGCUGUAGGGCUCGCGGUGGUGUCGACACCCUAAACUCUCACGGUUGACCUCGGAUCAGGUAGGGAUACCCGCUGA